RNAcentral lists this ribosomal RNA (900 nucleotides) under CFB group bacterium epibiont of Rimicaris exoculata. Its description in RNAcentral is "bacterial SSU rRNA". It matches the Rfam family "Bacterial small subunit ribosomal RNA", at positions 139 to 1056 of the family's 1533-position model. The record is from RNAcentral. Lineage: Bacteria; Pseudomonadati.
AAGAAUAGCAGAGAAAUUUGGAUUAAUGUUAUAAAUUUUAAAACGAUGGUUUUAAUUUAAAGUCGGGGUAUAAGAUGAGUAUGGUGAUAUUAGUUAGUUGGUGAGGUAAGGUACAAGACUACGAUAUCUAGGGGGUCUGAGAGGACUAUCCCCCACACUGGUACUGAGACACGGACCAGACUCCUACGGGAGGCAGCAGUGAGGAAUAUUGGGCAAUGGAGGCAACUCUGACCCAGCCAUGCCGCGUGAAGGAAGAAGGUCUUAUGGAUUGUAAACUUCUUUUAUUUGGGAAGAAACCUAUCUACGUGUAGAUAGCUGACGGUACCAAACGAAUAAGGACCGGUUAACUCCGUGCCAGCAGCCGCGGUAAUACGGAGGGUCCAAGCGUUAUCCGGAAUCAUUGGGUUUAAAGGGUGCGCAGGCGGUUUAUUAAGUCAGUGGUGAAAUCUCGGGGCUCAACUCCCGAAACUGCCAUUGAUACUGAUAAACUUGAGUUCAGUUGGAGUAGGCGGAAUGUGUAGUGUAGCGGUGAAAUGCUUAGAUAUUACACAGAACACCGAUAGCGAAGGCAGCUUACUAAACGAUACGACGCUGAGGCACGAAAGCGUGGGGAGCGAACAGGAUUAGAUACCCUGGUAGUCCACGCCCGUAAACUAUGAUUACUCGAUAUUGGCGAUAUACAGUCAGUGUCUAAGCGAAAGUGAUAAGUAAUCCACCUGGGGAGUACGUCGCAAGAUUGAAACUCAAAGGAAUUGACGGGGGGCCCGCACAAGCGGUGGAGCAUGUGGUUUAAUUCCAUGAUACGCGAGGAAACCUUACCAGGACUUAAAUGUAGACUGACAGACUUGGAAACCAGUCUUCCUUUCGGGCAUUCACAAAGGUGACGCAUGGGCUGUCGUC